GGCCUACCUUAACAUUGAUAGCUCAAUACACCCGCUAUUCGCCUGGAAACUACGAGCAUCAGCUUAAAACCCAAAGGACUUGGCGGUGCUUUAGAUCCACCUAGAGGAGCCUGUUCUAGAACCGAUAACCCCCGUUCAACCUCACCUCUCCUUGCUUUUUCCGUCUAUAUACCGCCGCCGUCAGCUUACCCUGUGAAGGGUAAAUAGUAAGCAAAAUUGGCACAACCCAAAACGUCAGGUCGAGGUGUAGCUUAUGGAGAGGGAAGAAAUGGGCUACAUUCAUUAACUUUAAUGAAUACGAAAGACGAACUGAAAUGUCUGUCCGAAGGAGGAUUUAGAAGUAAGCGGGAAACAGAGUGUCCCCCUGAAAUUGGCUCUAAAGCACGCACACACCGCCCGUCAC
This 403-nucleotide ribosomal RNA is filed under the name Graus nigra. RNAcentral's name for it is "partial 12S ribosomal RNA". It matches the Rfam family "Bacterial small subunit ribosomal RNA", at positions 793 to 1400 of the family's 1533-position model. Lineage: Eukaryota; Metazoa; Chordata; Actinopteri; Centrarchiformes; Girellidae. The record is from RNAcentral.